CCUACGGGUGGCAGCAGUGAGGAAUAUUGGUCAAUGGACGAGAGUCUGAACCAGCCAAGUAGCGUGAAGGAUGACUGCCCUAUGGGUUGUAAACUUCUUUUAUAUGGGAAUAAAAUGUUCCACGUGUGGGAUUUUGUAUGUACCUUAUGAAUAAGGAUCGGCUAACUCCGUGCCAGCAGCCGCGGUAAUACGGAGGAUCCGAUCGUUAUCCGGUUUUAUUGGGUUUAAAGGGAGCGUAAGUGGAUUGUUAAGUCAGUGGUGAAAGUUUUCGGCUAAACCGUAAAGUUGCAGUUGAAACUGGCAGUCUGAAGUACAGUAGGGGUGGGCGGAAUUCGUGGUGUAGCGGUGAAAUGCU
RNAcentral lists this ribosomal RNA (355 nucleotides) under uncultured bacterium. RNAcentral's name for it is "partial 16S ribosomal RNA". It matches the Rfam family "Bacterial small subunit ribosomal RNA", at positions 338 to 690 of the family's 1533-position model. The record is from RNAcentral.